This 1869-nucleotide unclassified non-coding RNA is filed under the name Hevea brasiliensis (rubber tree). The record is from RNAcentral. Lineage: Eukaryota; Viridiplantae; Streptophyta; Magnoliopsida; Malpighiales; Euphorbiaceae.
CAAAACCUCCCGCGCCCCAGGGAGCGGCAUAAGCCCUAGCCAUUCAAAACAUUCCCUUCGCCUCCCGCGGCGGAUUAUGACUAUUACUACGGCGUCGUUUGGUGUGAUUAACAGAGCUGCACCUGGAGCUGGAGGAGUGAGCUCCGGCGGCAGGACAGUAUUGAUUACGGGGGUAAGCAAAGGGCUUGGCAGAGCCCUGGCUCUAGAACUUGCCAAGAGAGGCCAUACCGUUAUCGGCUGCGCUCGUGCUCAGGAUAAACUCAAUUCUCUCCAAUCCGAGCUUUCCUCCGACCAUAACAACGACCACCUCCUCCUCAACGCCGACGUGAGAUCUAAUAGUAGCGUGGAAGAGCUGGCCAGAGCAGUAAUGGAAAAGAAAGGCGUUCCAGAUAUCAUAGUGAACAAUGCUGGUACCAUUAACAGAAACAACAAGAUAUGGGAGGUUCCAGUGGAAGAGUUUGACGCUGUAAUUGAUACCAAUGUGAAAGGAAUAGCAAAUGUUCUGCGUCAUUUCAUCCCUCUAAUGUUACCCAAAAAGCAAGGAAUUAUUGUUAACUUCUCUUCUGGAUGGGGAAGAUCCGGUGCUGCCCUGGUAAAAUGAAUGAAUUUCCAAAAAAUUGAUUUUAUGUAGCUAUGCUCUAAUAUUUCCUUUAAAUUGAUUAUAAAAUAAGUAUAAAAAUGUGGGAUUUAGCUCAUUCAACGAAUGCUAGUUUUAUUUUUGAUGUCUUCUGCUGGAGUGUCAGCAUUAUGGUAGUAGGAUUUUGUGGUGAAUGUUUAUUCUCUGCUUUACAUUGGUUCUUCCUUUCGAGUGCUCCUUCUGGGAUUUUCAUCUGAUUAUAAUUUACCAGGUUGCUCCUUAUUGUGCAUCUAAAUGGGCAGUUGAGGGUUUGACCAGAUCAGUUGCAAAGGAGUUGCCUGAUGGGAUGGCAGCUAUUGCACUUAAUCCGGGGGUGAUACACACUGAAAUGCUCCAGUCAUGUUUUGGCACUUCAGCUUCACACUACCAGGCACCUGAUGCAUGGGCCUCAAAGGCAGCUACAAUGAUACUCAAUCUAACUGGGGCUGAUAAUGGUGCAUCUCUAACUGUGUGAUGAAGGUUUCCAAGGCUGUAAUGAUGCUCAAACAGAAGCAGAUGGUAGCACAUCUUGUGAGAAGAGUUCUUCAUCAGCUGUCAGGCAUUUAUUCAUUGUGAUGGUAUCACACCUUUCAAACAAAAAUUCUUCCUCUGUGGCCCUGUCAAUACUAGAAUUGGAUUACAAUGAACUCCAUAGUUUUACUUUAAACAGUUCUUUAGGUAGAUGAGGAACUUACUAUGUUCAUUGUCUAUAUGCACUAUUAAUUGAGGCCAAAGAAUGUAGCAAGUCUUAUUAUUGUGAUGUAUGGACCAAGGGAAUUUCUCCCAGGAGCUUUUGAUCAUGAAAUUACCUAUAAUCAAUGAGCAGUUGGGGGUAUGUCAUUAAUCUUUUUAUCAUGAAAUUAACUAUAAUUGUUCAUGUAGUGAAAAUGUAUUGCUAUCCAACCAUUUUACUUGUCAUGAGCAUGCUACAAAUUGGAUUUCUCUUUCUUGUUAAAUUUGUAUGUUAAUUUCUUCUCAGUUUUAGUAUUUGUCAAUGUAUAUUGAAGAUAAUAAAUAUCUGGCAUUAUUCUGCUGCAGUAAUGGUGCACUCUUAUGAUAAAUUAUAGUACGGCAAACGGUUUCCAAGCUUUCUUGCCACCAUUAUAUUUGCACAAAACCAUGGAUGGCCUGGAAAAGUAAGAUGCUGGGGAGAUGAAUAUACUUCUAGGAAGCUUGUAUAAAAGCAAAACUGCCUGAUAAAUAUCUCCUGUAUUAGCAAAAAUUCUAUUUAUUUAAAAUAUUAUAUAUAAACA